Molecule: ribosomal RNA, 292 nt
Filed under: uncultured bacterium
Lineage: Bacteria
Description: partial 16S ribosomal RNA
Rfam family: Bacterial small subunit ribosomal RNA
Source: RNAcentral
GUGCCAGCAGCCGCGGUAAUACGGAGGGUGCGAGCGUUGUCCGGAUUUAUUGGGUUUAAAGGGUGCGUAGGCGGCCUUAUAAGUCCGGGGUGAAAGCCCGUUGCUUAACAACGGAACUGCCCUGGAUACUGUGAGGCUUGAGUACAGACGAGGUUGGCGGAAUGGACCGAGUAGCGGUGAAAUGCAUAGAUACGGUCCAGAACCCCGAUUGCGAAGGCAGCUGACUAGGCUGUUACUGACGCUGAGGCACGACAGCGUGGGGAGCGAACAGGAUUAGAAACCCGUGUAGUCC